AACACUGUUAACCUGCGGUACCUGCGGAGGGAUCAUUACCGAGUUUACAACUCCCAAACCCCUGUGAACAUACCUAUACGUUGCCUCGGCGGAUCAGCCCGCGCCCUGUAAAAAGGGACGGCCCGCCCGAGGACCCCUAAACUCUGUUUUUAGUGGAACUUCUGAGUAAAACAAACAAAUAAAUCAAAACUUUUAACAAUGGAUCU
RNAcentral lists this unclassified non-coding RNA (206 nucleotides) under soil metagenome. RNAcentral's name for it is "partial contains 5.8S ribosomal RNA, internal transcribed spacer 2, and large subunit ribosomal RNA". The record is from RNAcentral.